UACGAGGGGGGCAAGCGUUGUUCGGAUUCAUUGGGCGUAAAGGGUGCGUAGGCGGCGCGGUAAGUCGGGUGUGAAAUCUCGGGGCUUAACUCCGAAACUGCAUUCGAUACUGCCGUGCUUGAGGACUGGAGAGGAGACUGGAAUUUACGGUGUAGCGGUGAAAUGCGUAGAUAUCGUAAGGAAGACCAGUGGCGAAGGCGGGUCUCUGGACAGUUCCUGACGCUGAGGCACGAAGGCCAGGGGAGCAAACGGG
Molecule: ribosomal RNA, 253 nt
Filed under: uncultured bacterium
Lineage: Bacteria
Description: partial 16S ribosomal RNA
Rfam family: Bacterial small subunit ribosomal RNA
Source: RNAcentral